AAUCGGUGUAAUGAUAGCGGCGAACGGGUGAGUAACACGUUGGAACCUGCCCCCAAGUCAGGGAUAGCCAAGGGAAACCUUGGAUAAUACCGGAUAGUCUCUUAGGAGUAAAAAUUUAUUGCUUGGGGAGGGGCCUGCGGACUAUCAGCUAGUUGGUAAGGUAAGAGCUUACCAAGGCUAUGACGGAUAACUGGUCUGAGAGGAUGAUCAGUCACAAUGGAACUGAGACACGGUCCAU
Molecule: ribosomal RNA, 238 nt
Filed under: uncultured bacterium
Lineage: Bacteria
Description: partial 16S ribosomal RNA
Rfam family: Bacterial small subunit ribosomal RNA
Source: RNAcentral